AGAGUCCUGGAUGGCUGAGCCCCAUUCCCCCAGGAGGUGAGAUUCCUGAUUGGCUGAGCCCCAUUCCCCCAGGAGGUGAGAGUCCUGGAUGGCUGAGCCCCAUUCCCCCAGGAGGUGAGAGUCCUGGAUGGCUGAGCCCCAUUCCCCCAGGAGGUGAGAGUUCUGGAUGACUGAGCCCCAUUCCCUCUGGGAGGUGAGAGUCCUGGAUGGCUGAGCCCCAUUCCCCCAGGAGGUGAGAGUCCUGGAUGGCUGAGCCCCAUUCCCCCAGGAGGUGAGAGUCCAGGAUGACUGAGCCCCAUUCCCCCAGGAGGUGAGAGUCCUGGUUGGCUGAGCCCCAUUCCCCCAGGAGGUGAGAGUCCUGGAUGACUGAGCCCCCUUCCCCAGGAGGUGAGAGUCUCUGAGAUCAGCCAUGGGGCUGGUUCUGUUCCCAUGAGGCUGGAUCUGCACCCAGCACUGCCCUCCCUGGCCUGAGUCUCUGCUGGGCACAGGCUGAGACGGAGAGGUUUGGCCCCUAGUACCCAGGCCCGAGCCGGCUGCACCAUGGACCACCUCCAUCAGUGAAGGGUCAGGCUCCUCCCACUCACUGACUUCCUUCUGAGUCACUAAAGCAUCUUCUGGCUGGAGGCGCCAUGCAGCUUUUGGGGGCUCUGGCCUCUUCCCACCAAGACUCUGCCUCUGCACCCCCCAGGACCCACGUCCUAAGCCCCUCUCCCCACUGGACACCCUGGACUUCUCAGACAUUUUAAUAAAAGUUUUUUCAAAAAA
Erinaceus europaeus (western European hedgehog) is the source of this 765-nucleotide long non-coding RNA. RefSeq lists it as uncharacterized. The transcript has 3 exons. The record is from RefSeq and is a predicted model, not a curated record. Lineage: Eukaryota; Metazoa; Chordata; Mammalia; Eulipotyphla; Erinaceidae.